Molecule: ribosomal RNA, 864 nt
Rfam family: 5.8S ribosomal RNA (bases 475-628)
GUAACAAGGUUUCCGUAGGUGAACCUGCGGAAGGAUCAUUACCAUGCAGCAGCAAAUUGCGAGCAGUCAGAAUAAAGGAUGUGGUAAAUCCUGUGACACAAAGUCACUUAAUCUCACGGGACCGGUGGGGAACCCUUGCAUUGCACACCGGCGGGAUAUGGGUCAGAGACGUCCACCCGGUGCCGGGCCGCCGACCGCCUCAAGGCUCUCGGAGGUGGCUUGUCGCUAGCCAGCCCCGGCCGGGCCCGGGAGGCGCGUCCCCAGAUUCUCCAGCUUGUCCUUUCCCCUCCCGGCGUUAACAACUUCAACCCUAUCUGCGUACCUAUCCAUGUUGCUUUCCCGGGAGCAGCGGUCUGACCGCCCGUCGGCUGCCCCUGAGUCUCCCGGGAGAGGUCCCGAUCCAACCACGCUGUCCACCCCGCCUCCGUCUGACGGCCCACGCGCCACCAAAGCGAAACAAGCAACGAAUCGAAAAACUUUCAACAACGGAUCUCUUGGUUCUCGCAUCGAUGAAGAACGCAGCGAAAUGCGAUAAGUAAUGUGAAUUGCAGAAUUCAGUGAAUCAUCGAAUCUUUGAACGCACAUUGCGCCCCCUGGCAUUCCGGGGGGCAUGCCUGUUCGAGCGUCUCAAAGACGCUCUCACAAACACUGUGGUCAUGGCGGCGGUGGCAGGCCCGAGAUGGCAGCCACCCCGCCGGAAUACAUAGGCGGGCGCCUGCCGUGAGCCUGAGCGUAGCAUGAAAAGGACCCGCGGACUCACCGGGUCGUCAGCCCAGCCUUGGCCCCUCACCGGGCGAGAAGACAACGACGCACUCCUCGAAUCAGGUAGGGAUACCCGCUGAACUUAAGCAUAUCAAUAAGCGG